CCUACGGGUGGCAGCAACUAGGAAUCUUGCGCAAUGGACGAAAGUCUGACGCAGCGACACCGCGUGUAAGAAGACGCUUUUCGGAGUGUAAAUUACUGUGGCAGGGGAUGAAUUUUGACAGUACCCUGCUAGAAAGCACCUGCUAACUACGUGCCAGAAGCCUCGGUAAUACGUAGGGUGCAAGCGUUAUCCGGAUUUACUGGGCGUAAAGCGUACCGUCGGCGUCUUGUUUAGUCUUUAGUUUAAACCCAGGGCUCAACUCUGGAAGGGCUAAAGAUACUGGCAGGAU
This 289-nucleotide ribosomal RNA is filed under the name uncultured prokaryote. Its description in RNAcentral is "partial 16S ribosomal RNA". It matches the Rfam family "Bacterial small subunit ribosomal RNA", at positions 338 to 642 of the family's 1533-position model. The record is from RNAcentral.